This is a long non-coding RNA of Dama dama (fallow deer), 802 nucleotides long. RefSeq lists it as uncharacterized. The record is from RefSeq and is a predicted model, not a curated record. The transcript is spliced from 3 exons. NCBI's taxonomy places the organism in Eukaryota, Metazoa, Chordata, Mammalia, Artiodactyla, Cervidae.
UUUCCCAAGAUGUCGCGCGCGGGGUUUCGUUCCGCGCCAGGAGUAGAGACCCGUGAUUGAGGUCUUCCCUGUCGAUUAGAAGAGGAACUCAACAUGCUGACUUGGUACCAUCAUCUGUAUCCUCUGUGAGAAUCUUCCUUAAGGACAUAUCUCAGGCCAAGCCAUCUUCUGAAGGCAGCAAUUCUCAAGAUUCCCCCCUCCUUGUCCAGACACAUUUUAGAGGUAUAGGCAUAUUUUGACAAAACCCUCAACCAAAGAGCUGUCUCAUACAGCCUUAGAAGAGGUGAGAUGGGCUGCCAAUUCCUCUUCCACUCUGCUUUUCAGGCAUGUGCAGCACUAUAAUAGGAAUAAUCUUGAGUGAAUUCUAAUUCAUUCAAUUUAAAAGGAGGCUCCUGUGAAUCUUAUUCCACAGAAAUUGUGCGUGCAAAAAGUGUCACACCUGUAUGUAGAAAAUUCUAAAGGAGCUACCAGAAAAAGUGACUGGAAAUGAUAAAAGAGUUCAUCGAGGUCACAGGAUACAAGAUCAAUUUACAGAAAUCAAUUGUAAUUUUAUAUACUGGCAAUGAGCUAUCUGAAAAUGAAAUUCAGAAAAUCAUUCCAUUCACAAUCACAACCAAAAGAAUAAAAUGCUUAGGAAUAAAUUUAACAAAAGAAGUAUAAGACUUGUUAACACUGGAAAUGACACAAUAUUGGUGACAGGAGUUAAAAAAAGACCUGAAUAAAUGGAGAGACAUUCUAUAUUUGUGAAUUGGAAGUUGGUCAUGGACAGGGAGGCCUGGCGUGCUGUGAUUCAUGGGGUCGC